Molecule: long non-coding RNA, 257 nt
Filed under: Lathyrus oleraceus (garden pea)
Lineage: Eukaryota; Viridiplantae; Streptophyta; Magnoliopsida; Fabales; Fabaceae
Description: Pisum sativum (pea) long non-coding RNA (PSAT_LNC018143)
Source: RNAcentral
AUCACUAAAUCAAGCUACUCAAGAAGAAACACGCAAAAACAAAAUCGAGCAUCAACCUUUAAACCAACACAACUUUCAGUAAACUUAAUCAUUUUCAAAACUAAAACCAUCAAUAAACUCAGCAUCAAGAGACCUAUCUAAAGCAUGUACUAAUUUAACAAAAUAAGGAGAUCGAAUCCUUACCAAAUUGGAAGAGCAAUCGUGAUACAGUUGCUAUUUGGUAGCUUUGACUCAAAACAGGUACACCUUAAGCUUCU